UACGGAGGGUGCAAGCGUUGUUCGGAAUUAUUGGGCGUAAAGGGGAGGUAGGUGGUCUUGUUUGUCCGGGGUGAAAUCCCUGAGCUUAACUCAGGACGUGCCUCGGAAACGGCAAGACUAGAGUCCUGGAGAGGGUCGCGGAAUUCCCGGUGUAGCGGUGAAAUGCGUAGAGAUCGGGAGGAACACCAGAGGCGAAGGCGGCGACCUGGACAGGUACUGACACUCAACUCCGAAAGCGUGGGGAGCAAACAGG
RNAcentral lists this unclassified non-coding RNA (253 nucleotides) under uncultured Oligoflexales bacterium. Its description in RNAcentral is "contains 16S-23S intergenic spacer region". It matches the Rfam family "Bacterial small subunit ribosomal RNA", at positions 524 to 776 of the family's 1533-position model. The record is from RNAcentral. Lineage: Bacteria; Pseudomonadati; Bdellovibrionota; Oligoflexia; Oligoflexales.